GUAAUUUCAGAACAUCAUCUUCGUCAACUGAAACCAACUUCCCCAGCUCAGGUCAUCAUCAUUCCAAACUUUUCUACUAAUUUUUCUGUCUAACCCCCACAAUUGAUCUCAGAAUCUUUUUAUUAAUGCUCCCAUUCAAUGCCAGUUCAUUUACUUCUCAAAAACUUCCAAAAAUACUCAACCGCUAGAAAAUUUUCCCCCACCAUUCCUCCUGGAUCAGCAACAUAGCUUUUACCUGCAGGAGCCUGAUUAUCAUCUCAUGAAGAACCCCCGAACCAUGCAACAAGUUCACCAAUCUCCCAAUCUCUCCAACCCUUUUGAAAAUCUUACUGAAGAAAUCAUAUUUAACGUUCUUGAUUUCCUCGAUGAGGACCCACAAGCCAAGAAAUCGCUCUCUCUUGUUAACAAAUCAUUCUACUCUAUUGAAUCCAUUCACAGAAGAUCUCUAAGACCUCUACGAACUAAUCUCAUUCCAAGUACUCUCCGAAGAUAUCCUCAUCUAUCUCACCUUGACUUCACAUGUUGUCCUCGUGUCGAGGAUGAUACUCUUUUUGCUAUAGCUGAUGUAUAUAAGACUAGUUUGAGGGCCAUUGACCUUUCGAGGUCUAGGUUCUUUAGUAACGUUGGGUUGUCGAGUUUGGCUGGGAAAUGUACAGGUUUGGUGGAGAUGGAUUUGUCCAAUGCAACAGAGCUAACAGACUUGGCUGCUGCAGCUAUUGCCGAAGCUAAGAACUUGGAGAAGCUAUCAUUGGCUAGGUGCAAGUUGAUUUCAGAUAUCGGGAUUGGCUGUAUUGCUGUUGGUUGCAAAAAAUUGAAGUCGGUUUGCUUGAAAUGGUGCUUAAGAGUUAGUGAUUUCGGUGUUGGCUUGAUUGCUAUGAAGUGCAGAGAUAUUCGCUCUCUGGAUCUCUCUUACUUGCCUAUAACAGAAAAGUGCCUUCCACCCAUCCUGCAGCUUCAACAACUCAAGGAAUUGGUUCUUGUGGGAUGUUCUGGUAUUGACGAUGAGGGUCUUGUCACCCUGAAUCAAGGAUACAAACCACUAGAGAUGCUUAAUAUAUCAAUCAUUCAAAAUGUCAGCCACAUUGGUCUAUAUUCUCUAACAAAUGGCAUGAAACACCUAAGCCAUCUCAGUCUAGCAUAUGGUUUUGAUGUUACAGUAGAUCUAGCAAAAUGCCUGCACAAUUUUCCGGGCCUGCAGUGCAUUAAAUUAGAUGGCUGCCAAGUCUCAUGUGCUGGGAUGAAAGCUAUUGCAGAUUGUUGUGUAUCCUUAAAGGAGAUAAGCUUAUGCAAGUGCAUAGGAGUGACAGAUGAGGGUCUCUCCUCCAUUAUGGAGAAGCACAAUGGAUUGAAAAACUUGGACAUAACUUGUUGUAGAAAAAUAACUCAUGCCUCUUUAGACAUUAUAACAAGUUCAUGUAACUCCCUUAUUUCCCUCAAAAUGGAAUCUUGUAGCUUGAUUCCUGAAGAUGCUUUUGAAUUGAUUGGGCAACGUUGCUCUUUGCUGGAGGAGCUGGAUAUUACUGAUAAUGAAGUCGAUGAUGAAGGGUUGAAAGCAAUCUCAAGAUGUUCCAAACUUUUGAGCUUAAAAAUGGGAAUAUGCACGAAAAUCACUGAUAGCGGACUUUUUCAUGUUGGAAUUUACUGUCCAAAACUGACACAACUUGAUUUGUACAGGUGCACAGCAGUUACCGAUGUAGGCAUUAUGGCAGUUGCAAAUGGUUGCCUUGGUUUGGAGAUGAUUAACAUGGCUUACUGUGAGAAAGUUACUGACAGUUCAUUGCGAUGUUUAUCAAAAUGUUUAAGAUUGACAGCACUUGAAAUUCGAGGAUGUACUCGUCUAUCUUCAGGAGGAUUAUCAGCCAUUGCUGAAGGAUGUAGGAAACUGACCCUUCUUGACAUUAAGAAAUGCUGUAACAUUGAUGAUGCUGGAAUGCUUGCUCUUGCACAAUGUUCCCAAAGUCUCCAGCAGAUUAAUAUAUCAUAUUGUUCAGUUACGGAUAUUGGGCUAAUGGCACUGGCCAGCAUUAACCACUUGCACAGCAUGACUAUCUUGCAUGUAACUGGACUGACUGCCAGUGGGCUUGGUGCCGCUCUGUUAGCUUGUCAGGGACUGAGAAAAGUGAAGCUUCACUCAACCUUUAAAGCAUCAAUGCCUCAGGCUCUCCUGAAUCACGUAGAAGCUCGUGGCUGCAUCUUUCACUGGAGAAAUAAAGCAUUUCAGGUUUUCGUUUUAUUUACAUUUCAGUAGUGGCAUGCAAUUAUUACUGUUUCAGUUUUGAAAGUGAUUUCUACUGGUAUUGGCAAUUCAUUUUCUUCAUUCAGCCAAAACCCUGUGGGUUUCAUUAGCGCUCUCUUAUCUUGUAUCUUAGUUUUCAAACAGCUUCGGAACCCGGGGCCAACUUUUUACUUUUAUACAAUGAAAACUGGUAAAAAUUAAGCUUUUCCCGGAUUCUUGUAUUACUCGAAAACUGAAGAUGCUUCAACUUUCUUUUCCACUUCUUCCAAUAGCUGCAACUGUACCUGUUUGUAGAAGCUGCAAUUUUAGUAUUGCAAUAUGUUGAACUGAUAACUAACCGUUAGUGAUGUAGACUUGGAACUUGUAGAUGUUUCUGGAAGAAAGAUGAGUAUUCUUGUGCUUCUGAAAAUGGCAACUAUAAAAGUUACGAAGCAUACAAAUAUGUCUAUCCUUCUUCAGUGUGCUGGUCACUUGUGAAGGAUUGAUCUGCAGGCUGGCAGAUUCUAGGUGGAUAUAGAUCCGAAGGGAUGGCAGCUAUGAUUAUAAGUGAAGAAUUCAACAUUUUGCAUCGUGAAAGUUGUUGCCUUGUUGCCGCUGAUAAGAUUGCAGCUGAAUCAAGGAGUCAAAACAAGAACAUUUUAUUCUGGUGAUGUGUUCAUUUACCUGAAUGUGCCGUGCCAGUGAUUGAUUGGUCAUAGAGCUUGUUUGCUGUCCAGGUUCCAAAAUGGGGAAAACAUAAGAGAAUGUUCUGCAUCAGACUUGCAUCAUUUGAGUUGCUGCGAUGGGUCCAGUUCCAGAAAGAUGAUUUCAUACUACUAUCUAUAUUCUUGUUGCUGCUGAUUCAGAUUUGAGUCUUGAGCAAUUUAACGCGGUGUCGAGACUGAGUAACUUCUUGAUUUGAAAAUAGAACGUCCCUAUAGGAUUUGCCUAUAAUUCUAAUCUGACCUUAUUCAAUCUGCUCAAACAUUUGACCA
Coffea arabica (coffee) is the source of this 3210-nucleotide RNA transcript. It is a transcript of the gene named F-box/LRR-repeat protein 3, with no coding region annotated. NCBI's taxonomy places the organism in Eukaryota, Viridiplantae, Streptophyta, Magnoliopsida, Gentianales, Rubiaceae. The record is from RefSeq and is a predicted model, not a curated record.